GGAUGGUGGCUCAGUGAUAGAGCGCUUGCCUAGCAUGUGUGAGGUACUGGAUUCGAUCCUCAGCACCA
RNAcentral lists this transfer RNA (68 nucleotides) under Marmota monax (woodchuck). RNAcentral's name for it is "tRNA.Ala". The record is from RNAcentral. Lineage: Eukaryota; Metazoa; Chordata; Mammalia; Rodentia; Sciuridae.